UGGGGANUAUUGCACAAUGGGCGAAAGCCUGAUGCAGCGACGCCGCGUGAGGGAUGGAGGCCUUCGGGUUGUAAACCUCUUUCGCUCAUGGUCAAGCCGCAGCUUUGGGUUGUGGUGAGGGUAGUGGGUAAAGAAGCACCGGCUAACUACGCGCCAGCAGCCGCGGUAAUACGUAGGGUGCGAGCGUUGUCCGGAAUUAUUGGGCGUAAAGGGCUUGUAGGCGGUUUGUCGCGUCUGCCGUGAAAUCCUCUGGCUUAACUGGGGGCGUGCGGUGGGUACGGGCAGGCUUGAGUGCGGUAGGGGAGACUGGAACUCCUGGUGUAGCGGUGGAAUGCGCAGAUAUCAGGAAGAACACCGGUGGCGAAGGCGGGUCUCUGGGCCGUUACUGACGCUGAGGAGCGAAAGCGUGGGGAGCGAACAGGAUUANAUACCCUGGUAGUCCACGCUGUAAACGUUGGGCACUANGUGUGGGGGCCACCCGUGGUUUCUGCGCCGUAGCUAACGCUUUAAGUGNCCCGCCUGGGGAGUACGACCGCANGGUUG
This 543-nucleotide ribosomal RNA is filed under the name uncultured bacterium. RNAcentral's name for it is "bacterial SSU rRNA". It matches the Rfam family "Bacterial small subunit ribosomal RNA", at positions 355 to 896 of the family's 1533-position model. The record is from RNAcentral.